RNAcentral lists this ribosomal RNA (414 nucleotides) under Agrobacterium tumefaciens. RNAcentral describes it as "bacterial SSU rRNA". It matches the Rfam family "Bacterial small subunit ribosomal RNA", at positions 20 to 464 of the family's 1533-position model. Lineage: Bacteria; Pseudomonadati; Pseudomonadota; Alphaproteobacteria; Hyphomicrobiales; Rhizobiaceae. The record is from RNAcentral.
UGGCUCAGAACGAACGCUGGCGGCAGGCUUAACACAUGCAAGUCGAACGCCCCGCAAGGGGAGUGGCAGACGGGUGAGUAACGCGUGGGAAUCUACCGUGCCCUGCGGAAUAGCUCCGGGAAACUGGAAUUAAUACCGCAUACGCCCUACGGGGGAAAGAUUUAUCGGGGUAUGAUGAGCCCGCGUUGGAUUAGCUAGUUGGUGGGGUAAAGGCCUACCAAGGCGACGAUCCAUAGCUGGUCUGAGAGGAUGAUCAGCCACAUUGGGACUGAGACACGGCCCAAACUCCUACGGGAGGCAGCAGUGGGGAAUAUUGGACAAUGGGCGCAAGCCUGAUCCAGCCAUGCCGCGUGAGUGAUGAAGGCCUUAGGGUUGUAAAGCUCUUUCACCGGAGAAGAUAAUGACGGAUCCGAG